RNAcentral lists this long non-coding RNA (212 nucleotides) under Elaeis guineensis (African oil palm). Its description in RNAcentral is "long non-coding RNA (EGUI_LNC072672)". Lineage: Eukaryota; Viridiplantae; Streptophyta; Magnoliopsida; Arecales; Arecaceae. The record is from RNAcentral.
AUGAUAUCACCAGCUCUCUAAUGCAAUAAACGGCUCAUCAAUUGGAGCUAUAUAGGCUCCAGAAUCACAAAAACAUUGUUUCAAUAGGAAACAGAGUCCCAAUCAAGCUUAGAAUUAAUCGUGGCCAUCCGAUCGUGACCAGCUCGCACCAGAGCCGUCCGAUCGUGCAAAACAGGGCCACAGAUCACCUGAUCAUGUUUGAAAUUGCCCAC